GUAGGAUCCGAGCGUUAUCCGAAUUUACUGGGCGUAAAGCGCGUGCAGGCGGUUUGGUAAGUUGGGAUGUGAAAGCUCCCGGCUCAACUGGGAGAGGUCGUUCAAUACUGCCCAGACUAGAGGAUGGUAGAGGGAGGUGGAAUUCCCGGUGUAGUGGUGAAAUGCGUAGAUAUCGGGAGGAACACCAGUGGCGAAGGCGGCCUCCUGGGCCAUUCCUGACGCUCAGACGCGAAAGCUAGGGGAGCAAACGGGAUUAGAAACCCCGGUAGUCCUAGCUGUAAACGAUGUGGACUUGGCGUUGGUGGGGUAAAAGCCAUCAGUGCCGUAGCUAACGCGAUAAGUCCACCGCCUGGGGACUACGGCCGCAAGGCUA
This 373-nucleotide ribosomal RNA is filed under the name uncultured organism. RNAcentral describes it as "partial 16S ribosomal RNA". It matches the Rfam family "Bacterial small subunit ribosomal RNA", at positions 527 to 896 of the family's 1533-position model. The record is from RNAcentral.